AUACGGAGGGUGCAAGCGGUAUUCGGAAUCACUGGGCGUAAAGGACGCGUAGGCGGGUUGGCAAGUCAGAUGUGAAAUCGUACAGCUUAACUGUAGAACUGCAUUUGAAACUGCUAACCUAGAGUAUGGGAGGGGGAGAUGGAAUUAGUGGUGUAGGGGUAAAAUCCGUAGAUAUCACUAGGAAUACCGAAAGCGAAGGCGAUCUCCUGGAACAUAACUGACGCUAAGGCGUGAAAGCGUGGGGAGCAAACAGGAUUAGAAACCCCAGUAGUCC
Molecule: ribosomal RNA, 274 nt
Filed under: uncultured bacterium
Lineage: Bacteria
Description: partial 16S ribosomal RNA
Rfam family: Bacterial small subunit ribosomal RNA
Source: RNAcentral